CGUCAUUCAAACAGAGGGGCGUGGCUUAAACAACCCGCUGGCUGUUGAGCUUCAGGACGUUUAAGUUCGACUCAGUUAGGAAAUGUGACGCAGCGGACUCGGGGUCAAAGGUCACCUGUCUUUGCAGAGAGGCCGGCAGCAGUAGCCUAGUGUUCCUGUCCCUCUGCCCCGGGUUUUCAGCAACAAACAACGCCAUCAUCAUCCCUGAUGAGAGGACCGUGGAAGAUGAACCCCAGGAGACACUGAAUGGAUGCUUCUACUGACACUGUUACACAUGUUCAGUGCUGUCAGUGACAUUGAGAUGGAAGAUGAACCCCAGGAGACACUGAAUGGAUGCUUCUACUGACACUGUUACACAUGUUCAGUGCUGUCAGUGACAUUGAGAUGGAAGAUGAACCCCAGGAGACACUGAAUGGAUGCUUCUACUGACACUGUUACACAUGUUCAGUGCUGUCAGUGACAUUGAGAUGGAAGAUGAACCCCAGGAGACACUGAAUGGAUGCUUCUACUGACACUGUUACACAUGUUCAGUGCUGUCAGUGACAUUGAGAUGGAAGAUGAACCCCAGGAGACACUGAGUGGAUGCUUCUACUGACACUGUUACACAUGUUCAGUGCUGUCAGUGACAUUGAGAUGGAAGAUGAACCCCAGGAGACACUGAAUGGAUGCUUCUACUGACACUGUUACACAUGUUCAGUGCUGUCAGUGACAUUGAGAUGGAAGAUGAACCCCAGGAGACACUGAGUGGAUGCUUCUACUGACACUGUUACACAUGUUCAGUGCUGUCAGUGACAUUGAGAUGGAAGAUGAACCCCAGGAGACACUGAGUGGAUGCUUCUACUGACACUGUUACACAUGUUCAGUGCUGUCAGUGACAUUGAGAUGGAAGAUGAACCCCAGGAGACACUGAGUGGAUGCUUCUACUGACACUGUUACACAUGUUCAGUGCUGUCAGUGACAUUGAGAUGGAAGAUGAACCCCAGGAGACACUGAGUGGAUGCUUCUACUGACACUGUUACACAUGUUCAGUGCUGUCAGUGACAUUGAGAUGGAAGAUGAACCCCAGGAGACACUGAGUGGAUGCUUCUACUGACACUGUUACACAUGUUCAGUGCUGUCAGUGACAUUGAGAUGGAAGAUGAACCCCAGGAGACACUGAGUGGAUGCUUCUACUGACACUGUUACACAUGUUCAGUGCUGUCAGUGACAUUGAGAUGGAAGAUGAACCCCAGGAGACACUGAGUGGAUGCUUCUACUGACACUGUUACACAUGUUCAGUGCUGUCAGUGACAUUGAGAUGGAAGAUGAACCCCAGGAGACACUGAGUGGAUGCUUCUACUGACACUGUUACACAUGUUCAGUGCUGUCAGUGACAUUGAGAUGGAAGAUGAACCCCAGGAGACACUGAGUGGAUGCUUCUACUGACACUGUUACACAUGUUCAGUGCUGUCAGUGACAUUGAGAUGGAAGAUGAACCCCAGGAGACACUGAAUGGAUGCUUCUACUGACACUGUUACACAUGUUCAGUGCUGUCAGUGACAUUGAGAUGGAAGAUGAACCCCAGGAGACACUGAGUGGAUGCUUCUACUGACACCGUCACACGGAGGGUUGUGUCAUCUGGACGGAGCGAAGCAUCAGAUUGAAAUGAGUCUUGAAUGUCUGAUGAAGACGAGGAUAAGUGACGUCCUUCACCUCCUUUGUCUUCCUCUGAUUCUCUCUUACGGGACUUUAUUGUCUCCACUGUUUCCUGCAGACACAAAUCACUUUAAUCAUUUCCCUAAAUAAGCAGCAGAACGCACGAUGAGGAUUGAUUGCCAGAAUAUUUUUGAAAAAGCACAACAAGCGCCAGGCGGCCGAAGUUCCAGCCGAUCAAACUCGUAUUAAGAAAGCGUCGGCGGCGCUCCGGCUGACGGCCUCCAUCGUAGAUGAUGUCGCCAUCUGUGAGCUCACGAGCGUAUGAAGAAGAGCAUCUCUAUCACUCUCCACUGGGCAUUCAUAUGCAACACCACCACGUGGCUAUCAUAUCUUAGAAUGCACAGAGAAAUUGAAUUAUUAAGUUUCAGUUCAGAUCAAAUAUGACAUAUAAUAAUCAACAUUAACAUGAAUUAAUUUAACAUUCACAACAUGAAGAGGAAAUGAGCAGCAGAAGAUAUAAAUUAUUGAUAUUGAAGAACUGGAUCUCGUGUUAAAAGACGCUUCAAUAUUCAAUAAUAAAAUAUAAAUAUAAUAUAAUUAUAUGUAGGCUCCUCUAGAUUUAUGUUAGCGGAUGGAAUGGAUACACCCGUGUUUUUAAGCUAAGCUAACCACCAAUAUAUAGUAAAUAUAAAAUAAAUACAAUAAAAUAUGAAAGUAAAUAAGUAAAAGUACACAGAGAACAAACACACAAGUAGAAGCAUUUCUGUUUAAGCAAAACAUGUAUGUUGCUUGUGGAAAAUAUGAAAUAUAAAGAUUAAUAAGCUACAAUAAAAAUACAAAAAUAAAUACAAAAAUGCAAAAAAUACAAUAAAAUAAAAAAAAACUAUAUGAAGAAAUAGCUCAAAAUAAAUGAAAACAUGUCAUUUAAUAGAUGUAUUUAUUAGCAUGGUGCAUGUUUGAUGUGAGAUCUUCUCACCACGCUGAUUGGAUUCCAGUUUCAUUUUUGGCAAAGUCCGGCGACGUCAUCCAUCACGCGCUCCGAUCGGCGUCUCCGGGGCGGCGGAGUUCAACCGGAGCAAAAAGCACCGCUGGCUUCCCGCGUCUCCAAUUUCAUUCUGAGCAGCAGAGAAGCUCAGCGGAGCGUGCACGCACGUGGAGAACGUGCACGCUCGUGGAGAGCGAAAUAAAUACUUUUUAAUUCCUGCUCCGAGCCCGGCUCCGGGCCCCCGGCCCCGCUGAUGGAUGACGUUUUAAUGCGGCUGAAUGUUAUUUUUACCGAACAGGGAAAACUAUAAAUUUGUACUUCAUUGGCAAUGAUUGCGGCGCGUGCACGCCGGCGCGUCGCCGCAUGAAUAAUCGCCCCUCGCAGCAGAUGUUAUUUUGCAGAAACCAAUUCCUCGGAUAAGAUUUGCAGAAGAUUAAUUGUCUACAGCUGUUUCAUGGCCCGCUGCAGUCUUAAUACAUUUAUGAUGGUUUAAAAGGGAGCUUUAUUCCUGCAUCUGGAUUCAUAUUGCGGUCAUCAGCGGCGCGCGCCGGCCGUCAUUAGCGCCCCGCGCUUCCUUUAUGCGCUCUUCACGCCCAUAUUUCCAUCUCCCCUUCUUGAGUGACUGAAUUAUUCAGAUUUGUGCAAAUGAGUUGUUUUCAUUUUUCUCCCAUGGAAGUGGAAAUUGGAAGUGACCCGGCGUGACCCCCCAUCUAUUACUGCAGGCGGCUCAUUGUUAAGCGGCGGGCCGCGACCCGGCGGCGGUCCCGGUGUUACGACCCGCGCCGCUCGCUUUCAUAAAGACAUUUAAAUAUUCUACGCCGAACAAAAGCAAUCAUGUCGGGCGCGCGGCCCGAGGUCAGAGGUCAGGGGUCGGGCUACGAGGGACUCCUCGAGGAGCCGAAAGCCCGAACCCGACGCAGAGGACACGGAGGCCCGAGGUUUCCAUUUAACCCUGGGAAGCUCCUCCUCUUCUCCUCCUCCUCCUCCUGUUCUCCUGUUCUCCUCUCCUCCUCUUCUUCUUCUCCUCCUCCUCCUCUUCUGCAUAAAGCCUGUUAAUAACCACUGAAAAUAGGCUUGUCGAUAUCCUCAGGUCGUGACUCGUAACAAGCACGACAAGUUUGGGCCAGAUUUGAGCAAGUCCAGUUGAGCCACUAGGUGGCGCAAUGAGAAUGUGAACAUAUACAUGCAUCAUGUGUCUCUACUGAAGUGUAGACCACGUUGUGUAAAUUAAAUGUAAAAAGAAGUGAUCAGCGGAUGAGCACACGGGUCACGGGGUGAACUCUUAUCAUGUUGAGCUACCAAUCAGGUAAAAUAGCUGAUGUUUGUACCGCCAGGUUUUGGGGUUAAAACUCACCAUUGUCAUCACUAUUCAUCUUUAAGGCCUUCAGAUCAUCGGAUAAGUUUUGAGGGAGGAACCCGUAAAUGUAUAAUGACGAAAAGUGACAAAAACAAGCGAAAAACGCCCAAAACGCACAAACUGGGCGAAUCAUUGUAGCGCCCCCUAGUGUUCAAAUCACACACAUUUUGUGGAUGUUACAGGAUGCAAUGUGAUUUGUCCCAAUAGUGUUGAAGUUAUGAGCAUUGAAAAACAAGACACGCCCCCAAGAGGUUCAUUGGUCGAUAUGUCCUUAACACAAUGAGAUACCAAAAGGAUUGAUAUGUAUGUAGGUGAUAUAGCUUCAGUUAUGACCGACAGAAAAGUUUGUAUAAAUCGGAACCAGCGUGUAGGAGAAAUGGCCAAUUAUAAGUUUUUCACAGAAUUCAAAAUGGCGGAAAAUCUAAGUAGGCGGAGCUUCGGGGUCUGAGAGGCGGGUGGAGAUGGACAUGUGUUCUGGGUGAGGGGCGUCGCCGGUCAAACUUUGAGGGGGCGCUAGAGAGCAAUUUUUUAAAACCCAAAUUUGACGUCUAUAUCAUACGUCUAUUUUCACCGAGCCUGACAAGCUUGCCAAAUUUGGUGAGUUUGGGGGUCCGGUAAGUACCCCAAUAUGAAAAAUAAGAAUCAGAAUAGGAGGAAUAAUAAUAACCCUAUAAACACAUUAGGGACCCUCAUGAAUCAAAUAUUAAAACAAAGCACAGUGAAAUACUGAA
Long non-coding RNA from Cyclopterus lumpus (lumpfish), 4708 nucleotides. RefSeq lists it as uncharacterized. Lineage: Eukaryota; Metazoa; Chordata; Actinopteri; Perciformes; Cyclopteridae. The record is from RefSeq and is a predicted model, not a curated record. The transcript is spliced from 3 exons.